GGGGGUGUAGCUCAGUUGGGAGAGCGACUGGUUUGCAACCAGUAGGUCGUAGGUUCGAUCCCUAUCAUCUCCACCA
This 76-nucleotide transfer RNA is filed under the name bacterium. RNAcentral's name for it is "tRNA-Ala". It matches the Rfam family "tRNA". From Rfam's summary of the family: Transfer RNA (tRNA) molecules are approximately 80 nucleotides in length. Their secondary structure includes four short double-helical elements and three loops (D, anti-codon, and T loops). The record is from RNAcentral.